RNAcentral lists this long non-coding RNA (1993 nucleotides) under Citrus x clementina. Its description in RNAcentral is "Citrus clementina (C. clementina) long non-coding RNA (CCLE_LNC004669)". The record is from RNAcentral. Lineage: Eukaryota; Viridiplantae; Streptophyta; Magnoliopsida; Sapindales; Rutaceae.
AAAACUACAAAUUCUUUACAUAAGGAUAAAAUUAUAAUUUAAAACAAUUUACUCCCAAUCCAAGACAAAGUAAACAAAUAAUUGGGAUUCUGAUUGACAAUCCAUACUUUCAUUUAGUCUAAGUAAACACUCUACUCCCACUCCCACUCCACACUCCUAAUCCCAGGAUUCCCACUCCUCAGGAUUCCCAAUCCAAUCCAAAAAGUAAACGCAACAUAACAGUAUUCAACAAGAAAGCUUUUAGCAUGUCAAAGCCAUAUUAGUUGUAUUAUAGUUGCGGGAAGAAAAACUGUAUUUUCUAGGUAUUUUUAGAUUAAGAAAUGAUUUAUAUAUUAUUCUAACCUAAAUUUUGUACUUAAAUUUUAGACUCAAAUCUUAAACCAUUGAUUUUAAACAAUCUAACGGUGGAUGAUAGUCGUGAUUAAAUACUACGUUGAAUUUCAUUGUCGACCAUUGAAUUGUUUAAAAUUUGUGGCUCAAAAUUUACGUAAAAAUUUUAAGUUAAAAAUUGAAGUAGCUCGGCCCAUAAGAAAUUAUAAUUUAUAACAAGGGCAUUUUCAAAACUAAGGCAAGUGCUAACAGUCCUAACUCCCGCAAUAAUUUAUCCUAAAAGAAACCGAAUUAGGCAAAUUGUGAGCCCCUUUCAAUUGGAAAGAGCUACUACAGAGUAUAGACCUGAAGUGAUCAGAUCAAUGCUAAUGUAAUUGCAUGUAUAGGGUUCCCAGUUCACUUCCCAGAGUCUGCUCACAUAACUUUGACAUGCUUUCUGCAUAUAUAUAGCUGCUGAGAGCUGGAGUACGCCAUGAAUGAUAACGUAAUUCUUAAUAUUUUUAUAUUGAUUGAUGGAUCUACUACUGAGAAGAAAUAUAGCUAAAAACAAACUAUCGUACCAUGCACAUGCAUUUAUUGAUGUUAAUCUAAUUGCAUAUAUUGUAGUCAGUGGUCACAAACUAAUGGUGCUGCGUCGUUGCUCUUUCUUUUUCAUCUUUCCAGAAAAGGAAUUUGGCUAAAAAUAACAGAAGAAAACAAUAACAAAUUAAAUAAAGUUCGUACAUAUCAUAGCUGUAUUCUAGACAAGGAAAAUAACCAAGCUACCUACUCUAGCAGUCUCAUUGCAAGUUACAACAGCUGCGCCAUGGCUCUCUUGAACACAGUGUGUCCUGAUCCUAGCAAUCAAGCAUGCAUGAAUGUAUACAAUCACUCAGUCUGAAAUUAAUCCGAUCACAUGCAUUUUCUAAUCGGUUCGGCUAAUAUAAUAUUUGGUUAGGGUCAGAAUCUAUUAGAUUGGAGGUGGUAUAUGGGCAAAAACUGCAAAUUGUACUUGUUUUGGUUCCUGAAUACAUAAAUGGGAAGCCGGGAAGGGCCAUCACUGCUCAAUUGACUGACGGGAGCUGCUACCUUACGAGUGGGGUUCACGGGUCGGUUGUGUGAGGGGCUGUACCUUGCGUCUUACGUUAAACCUAAGGUGGCAAAAUCCUUGAGUUAAUUGUGGCGGAAUCAGUUCCCGACAAGACAUCACAUGGGCACAUCCGCACAUGUACUAGAAGCCCAAGUCAUAAUUUACUGGACCAUGAAAGAUGGUGGGUGGACCUUAAUUCAACAAAAGAUAAAAAGAAAUGUCCUUUUCGGUGUGCGGUGUGGGGGAGUGUCAUUAUUGUUUAAUUACCCUAACAAUUAUAAAAUAUCAAAUUAGUACAAGAAAUAUUAUUAUUUAUCAUCUUAUUAUUAUAUUUUAUAAAAUCUGUUAUUUUAUUAUGUUUUCCUUAGUGUCUUUAAUUGACCAAUUAAUUGACUAAUAUUUCAAUACUGUAGUGCUUUGCUUUUUUUGGACAAAAAUUUUUAUUAAAAGGUAAAAUUAUUAUUUUAUUAGUUAAUUAACUAGUCAACUAAUAGUGCUAACAAAAAUGUAGUAAAAUGAUCGGUUUUGUAAAAAUAAAUUUGUAAAACCAUAGAUUACAAUAUUUUUUCUUGUCAUUUGAUAUAUUGCAUUCUU